UGCCUCCAAAUGUUCUGAACCUUGGCCUUCAUCCCUUGAGACAAGUGCAGAAUAUCAAUCAACCAAAGGUGAAUCAUUAUAAAAUGGAGGACAGAGACAUCUGCAGCCAUUGAGGAAACAGUAAUUACAGGUACUCCAUGCGAUGGUCUCCUAUCUCCUAUCAAGCAAUCAGACCAGGAGAGCGCUGUUCUAAAGUCCUCCAAGACAAACCUUGGACCAACCACCUUCACAAUGUUCCCCAAACACCAAAGAGAUCAAAGCGACAAAGCCACCUUUUACAAGAUAUAUCUCCGGAGGUCUGAGAAGAUUCUAGACAGCGGAGGCAAAGUCCUUGAGGUAGUCCUUGAACUCCUCCCCAUUCUCCGUGUAGAGUUGGAGAUUCUCGCAGAUGGCGGCGAGAAGGGCAU
Molecule: long non-coding RNA, 407 nt
Filed under: Elaeis guineensis (African oil palm)
Lineage: Eukaryota; Viridiplantae; Streptophyta; Magnoliopsida; Arecales; Arecaceae
Description: long non-coding RNA (EGUI_LNC075527)
Source: RNAcentral